GGACGCGAGGGCGAUCUGGCUGUGACAUCUGUCACCCCAUUAAUCACCGGGGUUGAGUCAGCUGAUCUGGCUGGCUAGGCGGGUGUUCCCUUCCUCCCUCACUGCUCCAUGUGCGUCCCUCCCUAAGCUGCAAGCUCCAUCAAAGAGGAUGGCCUUCCAGGAAUAGAGAAGGACUGCUCUUCCGGAGAGGGUAUACAUAUGCGUAGCUGCACUCCCCUGUUAGAACUUCCAAAUAAGCUCUCAACUCAGAGUAGAGAACACUACUUAUCCUACUAUAGUUGCUUUUUUUUGAAUAAUUUUAAUUGAUAUAUUAUUAUCUUUUAA
Molecule: non-coding RNA, 324 nt
Organism: Erinaceus europaeus (western European hedgehog)
Lineage: Eukaryota; Metazoa; Chordata; Mammalia; Eulipotyphla; Erinaceidae
Source: Rfam